RNAcentral lists this ribosomal RNA (117 nucleotides) under Lepisosteus oculatus (spotted gar). The record is from RNAcentral. Lineage: Eukaryota; Metazoa; Chordata; Actinopteri; Semionotiformes; Lepisosteidae.
AAGUUUGACAUUACCACCUUCUAGACUGAUCUCAUCAGAUCUUAGAAGCUAAAGAAGGGUGAGGCUGAUCAAUACUGGGAUGGGAGACCUCGAAGGAAAACCAAGUUGUGGAGCUGG